GUCCCACCAGAUCCACCAAAUAAACCAAUCAGAAUACCAACUCCGCCACCAAUGGUAACAAAGAUAAACCCAUCACCACCAAAAAUGGGCAAAACCCAAAUAAAUCCCCCACUACCGACAAUCCAAACAACAUAGAAAAAUUCAAUUCCUCUAAGAAAAAAGACACUGACGCUGAAUAAGAUAAGGAGAAAAUUCAAUUGGUUGAAGAAAUCAACUAUGAAGGUAUUAAUCAACUUUCAAAAGAAGAAGAAGAUACCUUGAAUAAUCACCAAACAUAAUAGAAAGCUGAAGCAAAAACCAACCCCAUCAAUCAUUAUCCUAUUUCAAAAGACUCUUUCCCAAAGAUAUUGUCUAAUUUUGACAAAUCCAAAGAAUGCAAUGCCAACAAAGAAAAAGGUCAGAUAAAACCUAACGACAAAGACAUAAAGGUGAAGCAAAACCUACACUAACGAGAAACAAGAAUCAAGCAGAAUGACCGAUAUCCAAACCAACAUUUGCUGCUGCAGUAGGAAUUAAACUUGCAGAGGAUGCCAAGAAUAUUAC
Molecule: long non-coding RNA, 543 nt
Filed under: Capsicum annuum
Lineage: Eukaryota; Viridiplantae; Streptophyta; Magnoliopsida; Solanales; Solanaceae
Description: long non-coding RNA (CANN_LNC018114)
Source: RNAcentral